CAAAGAUGCAAUGGCAAGAGAGCAGAAAUUAAAACAAGGUCAAUCAAAAAGACAUUUGAUUGAUAGAAUACAAGACAGUAUAAAACUUUGUGAAUAAAAUUGAGUGCGGGAUAGUGGCGGACGGGUGAGUAACGCGUGAAUAAUCUGCCCCAUACAGGGGGAUAGCCUCGGGAAACCGGGAUUAAAACCGCAUAACACUUUAUCACCGCAUGGUGAUGAAGUCAAAUCGAUUAAGAGGUAUGGGAUGAGUUCGCGUCUGAUUAGCUAGUUGGCGGGGUAAAGGCCCACCAAGGCGACGAUCAGUAGCCGGCCUGAGAGGGUGACCGGCCACACUGGAACUGAGACACGGUCCAGACUCCUACGGGAGGCAGCAGUGGGGAAUAUUGCACAAUGGGGGAAACCCUGAUGCAGCGACGCCGCGUGAGUGAAGAAGGUCUUCGGAUCGUAAAACUCUGUCCUUGGUGACGAAGGAAGUGACGGUAACCAAGGAGGAAGCCCCGGCUAACUACGUG
Molecule: ribosomal RNA, 512 nt
Filed under: uncultured bacterium
Lineage: Bacteria
Description: bacterial SSU rRNA
Rfam family: Bacterial small subunit ribosomal RNA
Source: RNAcentral